Salvia miltiorrhiza (redroot sage) is the source of this 764-nucleotide RNA transcript. RefSeq lists it as uncharacterized. The transcript has 6 exons. NCBI's taxonomy places the organism in Eukaryota, Viridiplantae, Streptophyta, Magnoliopsida, Lamiales, Lamiaceae. The record is from RefSeq and is a predicted model, not a curated record.
AGAAUAUCAAAUCCCUAAGUUCCUAACUCUCUCUCUCGAUCGAGCACCUCCUCCGCCCCCAGUCCGCUGCGCCGCCUCCCUCGGUCCGACUCACCUCCGGCAGCCUCCCUCUGGUCCGUCCCCCGAUCUGACUCCGUCUGCCCCACCCCGUAAUCCGCCUCUACCUCUCAUCAAAUCCUCCGCCCCAUCAAAUGGAGACUUAAAUCGAGCCCUAAUAUCCCAACCCUCUGCAAUCGACCGUGGUCCGAGCAUCCACCAAUGCUGCCAGAAGCUGACGCCGUCGACCCCGUUGCACGUGUCGUCCGAUGACUAAGCCUCUGCUCCCAUUCCCGGCGGCGAAGCCGGACGAAGCCUCUACUUCCGCUCCACACGCUGUCGCACCGACGUUUCUCCAUCUCUUGUCUCAGGGUUUAGGCCGAUUGCAGCUGUGAGUUUUCUUCCUUGCAUUAUUUGUCUCCAAAUUUUUGAUGAAUUUGAAAUUGGUGGUGAUGGUUGCAGCUGUGAGUUUUUUUCCUUGCAUUAUUUGUCUCCAAAUCUGAGAGGAGCAAAAAUUCUGAAAAUGAAUUCAAAACCCUCCCAAAUGGUCUCAAGUACUAUGAUUUGAAGACUAGAGACGGACUUGAAGCUGUAAAGGGAUCUCGGGUUAUAGUAUGAUUGUGGCACAGGAAUUGCCAAGAGAGAUACAACAACCCUAGAGGAAGAGAGCUGGCAAUAGUCCGAGUGCUAGCACUGUGUCGAAAUGCAAUCACCCAUGCCAAGUUUGC